UCCGGUUUGACACCGGCAGUCCCGCUAGAGUCCUCAGCAUUACCUGGUAGCAACUAGCGGCAAGGGUUUCGCUCGUUAAGGGACUUAACCCGACACUUCACAGCACGAGCUGACGACAGCCAUGCAGCACCUGUGUACGUUCCACCAAAGGCGUCACUCCCUUUUCGGGGAGCUAAUCCGUACAUGUCAAGCCCUGGAUAAGGUUCUUCGCGUUGCUUCGAAUUAAGCCACAUGCUCCACCGCUUGUGUGAGCCCCCGUCAAUUCCUUUGAGUUUUAGCCUUGCGACCGUACUCCCCAGGCGGUGUACUUAAUACUUUUGCUCCGACCGAGACGGCGUCAAAACCACCUCGAUCUAGUACACAUCGUUUAGGGCGUGGACUAC
RNAcentral lists this unclassified non-coding RNA (383 nucleotides) under uncultured Phycisphaeraceae bacterium. RNAcentral's name for it is "contains 16S-23S intergenic spacer region". Lineage: Bacteria; Pseudomonadati; Planctomycetota; Phycisphaerae; Phycisphaerales; Phycisphaeraceae. The record is from RNAcentral.